RNAcentral lists this unclassified non-coding RNA (295 nucleotides) under uncultured Latescibacterota bacterium. Its description in RNAcentral is "uncultured Latescibacteria bacterium contains 16S-23S intergenic spacer region". The record is from RNAcentral. Lineage: Bacteria; Pseudomonadati; Candidatus Latescibacterota.
UGGACUACACGGGUUUCUAAUCCCGUUUGCUCCCCUAGCUUUCGCGCCUCAGCGUCAGUAUUGGGCCAGAUGAGCGCUUUCGCCACCGGUGUUCCUCCUGAUAUCUACGCAUUUCACCGCUACACCAGGAAUUCCCUCAUCCUCUCCCAUACUCAAGCCAGGCAGUUUGGGAUGCCGGUCCCCGGGUGAGCCGGGGCAUUUCACAUCCCACUUACCUGACCGCCUACACGCCCUUUACGCCCAGUGAUUCCGAACAACGCUUGCUCCCCCCGUGUUACCGCGGCUGCUGGCACAU